GACGAACGCUGGCGGCGUGCUUAAUACAUGCAAGUCGAGCGAGGUUACUGUUUCGGAUCCCUUCGGGGUGAAGAAGCUUUAACCUAGCGGCGGACGGGUGAGUAACGCGUGGGUAACCUACCCCAAAGUCCGGGAUAACAGCGGGAAACCGCUGCUAAUACCGGAUGUCUUUACCUUGGGGCAUCUUGAGGUAAAGAAAGGUAACGCUUUGGGAUGGGCCCGCGUCCCAUUAGCUAGUUGGUGAGGUAACGGCUCACCAAGGCGACGAUGGGUAGCCGGCCUGAGAGGGUGGACGGCCACACUGGGACUGAGACACGGCCCAGACUCCUACGGGAGGCAGCAGUAGGGAAUAUUGCGCAAUGGACGGAAGUCUGACGCAGCGACGCCGCGUGAGCGAUGAAGGCCUUCGGAUCGUAAAGCUCUGUCCUUGGGGAAGAAGGCGAAAGCUUGACGGUACCCAAGAAGAAAGCCCCGGCUAACUACGUG
RNAcentral lists this ribosomal RNA (486 nucleotides) under uncultured bacterium. Its description in RNAcentral is "bacterial SSU rRNA". It matches the Rfam family "Bacterial small subunit ribosomal RNA", at positions 28 to 507 of the family's 1533-position model. The record is from RNAcentral.